CCUACGGGAGGCAGCAGUGAGGAAUAUUGGUCAAUGGGCGGGAGCCUGAACCAGCCAAGCCGCGUGAAGGAAGAAGGCGCCAGGCGUCGUAAACUUCUUUUGUCGGGGAACAAAGGGCGCCACGUGUGGCGUUGUGAGUGUACCCGAAGAAAAAGCAUCGGCUAACUCCGUGCCAGCAGCCGCGGUAAUACGGAGGAUGCGAGCGUUAUCCGGAUUUAUUGGGUUUAAAGGGUGCGCAGGCGGAGGUGCAAGUCAGCGGUCAAAUUGCGGGGCUCAACCCCGUACUGCCGUUGAAACUGCAUCCC
This 305-nucleotide ribosomal RNA is filed under the name uncultured bacterium. RNAcentral describes it as "bacterial SSU rRNA". It matches the Rfam family "Bacterial small subunit ribosomal RNA", at positions 338 to 641 of the family's 1533-position model. The record is from RNAcentral.